This 373-nucleotide long non-coding RNA is filed under the name Carica papaya (papaya). RNAcentral describes it as "long non-coding RNA (CPAP_LNC000294)". Lineage: Eukaryota; Viridiplantae; Streptophyta; Magnoliopsida; Brassicales; Caricaceae. The record is from RNAcentral.
UCAAAUUUCGAACGGGUUGGGGAGAAUUUUACCUUUUUUGGCUGUCGACAGUGGCUCCGGUGCAGCGAUGAAUGAGGGUCGGUCUCCUUCUCUGGCGGCUGAUCCUUUUUCUCCGGCGAUGGCAGGUGCGAUUAGGGUUAGGGUUCCCCUACAAUGCGAUAUUUUUAUACUUAUUCUGCAUCGAUUUGGGUUGUCCAUUCGCAUCGACAUGGGGUGAGGAGAGUCGUCCGAUCAUUACCUGUUUAAGUCGAUUCCGUGGUCGAAUCUGGACCAUUCAUCACAAUUGAUCUCAUCUAUUCGAUCGCGUCUAAGAAGGGAAUGUAUAUGAACCGUUCACGCACGCGAGAUUGAAUAUGGGCCAUCGGAUUGCUGG